This 468-nucleotide ribosomal RNA is filed under the name uncultured bacterium. RNAcentral's name for it is "partial 16S ribosomal RNA". It matches the Rfam family "Bacterial small subunit ribosomal RNA", at positions 28 to 507 of the family's 1533-position model. The record is from RNAcentral.
GACGAACGCUGGCGGCGUGCUUAACACAUGCAAGUCGAACGGAAAGGCCCUGCUUUUGUGGGGUGCUCGAGUGGCGAACGGGUGAGUAACACGUGAGUAACCUGCCCUUGACUUUGGGAUAACUUCAGGAAACUGGGGCUAAUAACGGAUAGGAGCUCCUGCUGCCUGGUGGGGGUUGGAAAGGUUCGGCGGUUGGGGAUGGACUCGCGGCUUAUCAGCUUGUUGGUGGGGUAGUGGCUUACCAAGGCUUUGACGGGUAGCCGGCCUGAGAGGGUGACCGGCCACAUUGGGACUGAGAUACGGCCCAGACUCCUACGGGAGGCAGCAGUGGGGAAUAUUGCACAAUGGGCGGAAGCCUGAUGCAGCAACGCCGCGUGCGGGAUGACGGCCUUCGGGUUGUAAACCGCUUUCGCCUGUGACGAAGCGUGAGUGACGGUAAUGGGUAAAGAAGCACCGGCUAACUACGUG